UUCGUGUUGUGAUAUGUUUUGAGGCCCAGUGACCACAAACCCUAAUCCGUGUGGUUGAUUGUGUUCUUUGUUUCUCUUUGAUCCGCGGAGACGGUGACGAUCUGGUUUCUGUUACGGAAAGAUCUUCAAUCGCGUUGUUCCAUCAGCGAUAUAUUUAUAAAUAGGUUUUUUCCGACUUGAGGUCCGGGACGUGCUCAUCCGAGGCGAGACUGUUCCAAUUCUGAGAGACUAUGAAUGUAAAACGUGGUGGGGAGCUUAUGUGGAUGGAUUUUAUCAUGGUGGAUGUUAACGUGAACUCUAACCUGUUUAUGAAUUCUGAUAGUGUUUCCGGGUUCUUUGCAGGAUUUGUUAUCCGCCGUACGAGUAGUUGUGUUGCUGAAGUCAACCUGAUGAUCUGUUUCGUCCCUGUUUUGUCUUCUCUUUGGGUAUCUUCUGAUAUCUUUAGGUUUUUCUCUGCUUUUUGGCUAUUUUGUCUUUCGUUGUUUUCAGAGAGUUCCAAUUGAUGUUGAUUUUGAGUUCCUCCGUUUUUCUGCUUCUUUGUAGACAUCAGUUGUCUACCAUUUAUAAACCCAGCUUUAUAAAAAAGAAGAAAUCAACCUGAUGAAUCCUUUGUUAAGUUUUUGCUUGCGUUGUGUGAGAUUCUUCAAACGCUUUCAUUUACAGAUUCAUCACAUUUAACCUCUUCUUAACUCCAACAACAUGAUCUAGCCAUCAAUGUGAGCUUCUUUCUUGCGAGGCGGUUUACCUUUAAUUAUAAAAAGUCCGUUAGAUGUUCUCCACUGUUGAGGUUAGGUUUUUGCGAUCCUGGGAGGCAAGGAUUGGCAGGUGCAGUGUUGAUGGAGUUAAGAAGAGGUUAUUUCACAUUUUUCAUCCCUUGGAAAUCGUCCUCAUCAGAAAGCUCAUUGUAUUAGCUAUUUUUGUCGAAGUUUGUUUUGGGACUUUGCUCUUAUGUUUUCAUUUAUUAGAGAUCUGAUGGUGAUUAAUCCUACUUAAUUCUGUGCAUAAAGACAAUUUCUUGAAUUCUAAAUUGUUAUAUAUUUUUGACUCCAUCGCUUUUCUGAGAAUGGAUCUAUUAAUACUUGAUUAUUUGUGUUCAAACUGUAGGCCAAUCACCAAAAAGUUCGAGAGAAGCCACUUCUAUCUGUUUUAGUAUUUUUCCAGGCAGCCCGGAACAUUGUGCUUCUUGCUGUUCCAGCCCUGUUUUUCACGGUGCUGUUUCUGUAGCCAGUGUGGCUGCAUCUGUAUGUUGCUGCAAUCGCAGCCUUCACCACCACGUCUUCAAUCUCUAGAAGGGAUGAGUAGAUAAACUGACAUGGUCGUUACUUCCGCUUCGACCCUUGCGGAUGCUCAGUGUAUGGAGGCUGUGGAAGUGAUUAGAGAUGAGAGAGAAUUUGGCCUCUGUUGUCAGCGCCAGUGUAGCCAUCAAUGUACUUCUACCGGAGAUAUCUGACACUCACUGCCAGUGAAGCCACAAGUUUAGUAGCUUCAAAAAUCUGUAUUUUGGUUAUCUUAGGUAUUUGAAAGAUUGAUUCUGAUGAAGAAACUCAAUUAUUUUGAUAAUCUCCAUUAUCGUCCGAAACGUAAAAGUUCACCCUAUA
Molecule: RNA transcript, 1598 nt
Organism: Raphanus sativus (radish)
Lineage: Eukaryota; Viridiplantae; Streptophyta; Magnoliopsida; Brassicales; Brassicaceae
Exons: 6
Source: RefSeq, a predicted model, not a curated record